Molecule: non-coding RNA, 23 nt
Filed under: Arabidopsis thaliana (thale cress)
Lineage: Eukaryota; Viridiplantae; Streptophyta; Magnoliopsida; Brassicales; Brassicaceae
Source: RNAcentral
GAAGUUGUUGCGCUACGAAGUAA